RNAcentral lists this transfer RNA (73 nucleotides) under Trichonephila clavata. It matches the Rfam family "tRNA". From Rfam's summary of the family: Transfer RNA (tRNA) molecules are approximately 80 nucleotides in length. Lineage: Eukaryota; Metazoa; Arthropoda; Arachnida; Araneae; Nephilidae. The record is from Rfam by way of RNAcentral.
GUCCCUGUAGCGCAAUGGAUAGCGCGUUGGACUUCUAAUCCAAAGGUUGUGGGUUCGAAUCCCACCAGGAGUG